AGCGAACGCUGGCGGCAGGCCUAACACAUGCAAGUCGAACGAACUCUUCGGAGUUAGUGGCGGACGGGUGAGUAACACGUGGGAACGUGCCUUUUGGUUCGGAAUAACUCAGGGAAACUUGUGCUAAUACCGCAUGUGCCCUUCGGGGGAAAGAUUUAUCGCCAUUAGAGCGGCCCGCGUCUGAUUAGCUAGUUGGUGAGGUAACGGCUCACCAAGGCGACGAUCAGUAGCUGGUCUGAGAGGAUGACCAGCCACACUGGGACUGAGACACGGCCCAGACUCCUACGGGAGGCAGCAGUGGGGAAUCUUGCGCAAUGGGCGAAAGCCUGACGCAGCCAUGCCGCGUGAAUGAUGAAGGUCUUAGGAUUGUAAAAUUCUUUCACCGGGGACGAUAAUGACGGUACCCGGAGAAGAAGCCCCGGCUAACUUCGUG
This 433-nucleotide ribosomal RNA is filed under the name uncultured bacterium. RNAcentral's name for it is "partial 16S ribosomal RNA". It matches the Rfam family "Bacterial small subunit ribosomal RNA", at positions 29 to 507 of the family's 1533-position model. The record is from RNAcentral.